CCAUCUACAAUACAUCAAACAUGCAUUUGCAAGCCACAUUGUUCAAAAACACAACAUAAAUUCAUAAACCUAACCAUAAGCUAAACAUGCAUUCUACCCCAUAGAUCUUCAUAAAACUUACUCAAAACAUGCAAUGAGCUUAAGAUCGGCUCUUACCUCUUGAAGAUCGAGAGAGAGACGACCUAAUCUUGGAGAUGGGAGAUUUUCAACUUCCUUGGGUCUCCAAGCUCAAAACUUG
This 238-nucleotide long non-coding RNA is filed under the name Manihot esculenta (cassava). RNAcentral's name for it is "long non-coding RNA (MESC_LNC011530)". Lineage: Eukaryota; Viridiplantae; Streptophyta; Magnoliopsida; Malpighiales; Euphorbiaceae. The record is from RNAcentral.